UGAAAUAUCAAAAGGAAAUGAUAGAGCAUUAAAACAAGAUUUUCAUCAUAAUGCUUUUUAAUAUUUUAAAAAAUUUUUAAAAUAAUAAAACUGAAAGGUGGGCCCGGCCGGACUUGAACCGGCGACCUCCGCCG
This 134-nucleotide antisense RNA is filed under the name Caldisphaera lagunensis DSM 15908. RNAcentral's name for it is "Bacterial antisense RNA HPnc0260". It matches the Rfam family "Bacterial antisense RNA HPnc0260". The record is from Rfam by way of RNAcentral. Lineage: Archaea; Thermoproteati; Thermoproteota; Thermoprotei; Acidilobales; Acidilobaceae.